This 492-nucleotide ribosomal RNA is filed under the name uncultured bacterium. RNAcentral describes it as "partial 16S ribosomal RNA". It matches the Rfam family "Bacterial small subunit ribosomal RNA", at positions 29 to 507 of the family's 1533-position model. The record is from RNAcentral.
AGUGAACGCUGGCGGUAGGCCUAACACAUGCGAGUCGAACGGCAGCACAGUAAGAGCUUGCUCUUACGGGUGGCGAGUGGCGGACGGGUGAGGAAUACAUCGGAAUCUACUUUUUCGUGGGGGAUAACGUAGGGAAACUUACGCUAAUACCGCAUACGACCUACGGGUGAAAGCAGGGGAUCUUCGGACCUUGCGCGAUUGAAUGAGCCGAUGUCGGAUUAGCUAGUUGGCGGGGUAAAGGCCCACCAAGGCGACGAUCCGUAGCUGGUCUGAGAGGAUGGUCGGCCACACUGGAGCUGAGCCACGGUCCAGACUCCUACGGGAGGCAGCAGUGGGGAAUAUUGGACAAUGGGCGCAAGCCUGAUCCAGCCAUACCGCGUGGGUGAAGGAGGCCUUCGGGUUGUAAAGCCCUUUUGUUGGGAAAGAAAAGCAGCAGGUUAAUACCCCGCUGUUCUGACGGUACCCAAUGAGUAAGCACCGGCUAACUUCGUG